UAAAUUAAGGAAAUGGAACAGCAGCAGUGAAAAAGCUGUAUAUCACUCCUUUGCAGGUAAAACUGCAAUAUUUGAAAAAAAUACUUUUUUUUAAUGAAAAAAAAAAUGCAGACUCUCACAAUUGGCACCUAAAGAGGUAAUUUGUUUUUGCUGGAGCUGAAACCUAUCACUAUUUGAUGUCCAUUCCAAGCUUUUUGUAAACUUCAAAAGAUAGUUUUUUUUUUUUUUCGUUCUCUUCGCUACUUGAAACAAUGCUUGGUCAUAAUAGAAAUUAUCAUGCAAAAGAUCUAAUAGCGUCAUAGUUAUCUGGAAAGUACUCGUGCGAGUUUGCUUUUUGUUCGUAAUAUUUGAUCGCUUCAACGUUACACGAAAAGUUUUGGUCCAUCAUACAGAUGAAGCUUAGUUGGAAGGUGUAUUGAAAGCCAUGGCCAUUGGCGUGACAGAAACCUGUUAUCCUAUCACCGCAUGAUGGGUGGAGACGCAUCAGGUACUGGCCGCUUUACUCUUGCCGUAAUGUAGAGCUUAGAAUAAGUAGAAAGAACGCAUAAUGAAUACUUCUCGCGACCUCAGUUUCAAAUUUUCGCGCCAUUUCAUGUUGCACCAUAAAAACAAUGAGAACUGGUGACGUCUCCUGGGGCUUAUAUAAAAAUGCCGCCUUAUGAAAGAACUCCACACGGUAAGUGUUAUCAUUUUUUGUUCAAUUCGAACAUUGUUGUUUUCGUUUCUAGAGGCUAGUGCAAUAUCAGCCCGUACUCUCCAAAUACUGGCAGAAAAUUAAAACCUAUCCUAUCACUCUGGCAAUCCGAACUCUUCUUCUGCGGCCGAGUUUCAAAGCCAUUUUAGUCCGGAUCCAUUAUCUGCGAACUGUUUAUUCUUUACUAGGUCCUGACUUCGACCUGCUCCAGCACGUUCCCUUGUUCAUGCGCGUCCGUAUUGCGUGUCCGAAAAAGUGACCGUAUCGGAACGAUGUCUCUACAAAACGAGCACGCCACGGAUGUUCUAAUCUACAUGUCUAAACAAAUAGAAGUUGGUCAUGUAUUUUCAUUGAAAGCGCACUGUAAAUUAUCGAAAUACAAAAUACCGCACACUAGAGGUGGAGUUUGCUCCCGUUAAACAUGGCGUAGAGACCGAUUUUUAGCUAAAACGUUUUUAGUUCUCAUAAUGUAUGAGAAUGAAAUCGGUCAACAGAUUACUUCUAAUAAGGCAAGCAACAGCGAUGGCUAAUCUCUACGCUAUCGACGCUCUGCAGUUAUUGCAAAAAAGAUAAAUACAUGUAUUUCUAAAUUGAGCGUCGUGACAUCGUAACUCUAGGACUUCACAGAAGUUUGAAGCAUUCAUUAUUAAGUAUGAAUGUGAACUGUGGAAACGGAAGUCCUUAGAAUGUUUAGUAGGACAUAUCAUUGAUAGAUUUAUUUACACUGAUGUAACUCAGAUGUUUGCCAUCAUAGCCACUAAAUUAAGCAAGCUUCCAAUGAAUUUGGGUACAGGACUGGUUUAUCGGGAACUGAGAAUAUUUUUGACAAUGAAAAACAUCAUUUAAUCUACCUCUUUGUUUGCAUUCACAUUGUUCUUGUUACCAAUCGCAUGUCACUUGACCAAAACAGCUUUAUCAGUAAAACAGAAUCGGCAGCGCACGUAGUUUCCUAAUCAGCUAAUGCCCUUCUUGCGGAAUAUAUAGCAUCAUUUCUCCAACUACGAAUAGCGGUAAUAAUAAUGGUCUAACUAAAUAUGGGAAUAAAUAUCAGCGUUUUGAUUGAAGCCUAUUAAAAGUUUCUAAGUUCACGGAGAUUAUCGAGAUUUGUUAACCUCAAUAAUAAACAAUCGCUAUACGAUUGCUGGCCUUGUCGACUGGAUUAUGAGAGAAACUCCGCUCCAAAAUCGGGGAGACUCACAAAUGCAGAUCUUAAUUCAUGGCUUAACGUAUAGCAUGCACCUUAGAUAGUUACUAUUUAGCUUACACAUUUUUAUGAGUUAUAAGACCCUGUUAUGGGCUUGAUACCGAAAAAUAGAUACAUUUAAGGUACAAAGACCUCUUAUAUAUAAGUGAGCUAUACUAAUAUAGGUUGCACUGUGUUACUAUGUGACGCUUGUCACUAUAAUAAUAAUAAUGUUGUUUUGAUUAACGACAGUCGACCAAUAGAGAAAUAAGGCCAUCUCUGGUUUUUAAGCUAAAAUUUGGAAUUUUCACGAAGAAGUCUUCAACGGUCUCAACUCUGAUCUGACAUGAGUGCCAGUGGACGAUAAACACUACGGCAGUCGUACAAAAGCUACGAAUUCUAAAACUAUUAUACAUUAGGGUUAUAGGAUUAAACGGUAUGUUAUGAAUGCUAUAAUCGGGAUGAGUUUUUAAGUUUACUAAGAGAUGAAAUUACUUAAAGCUUAACCAAAGUCAAUCUUUACGAUACAUUCAGUAUCGUUAAGAAAGGACCCAAGCGAUACAUGGAAAAAGAAUGGCACCACUGAAAAUGAAUAUUCCUUAACUAGGGACAAUGCUACGAUACUUAAUCAUAUUUCAGGCUAUUCUUCAUGUUCGGUCUGAGGCGCCACCAACGGGUGAAGUCAGUGGCCAAACAGAUGUGCAUUGCGACUAGCUCUGGCUUUUAAAGAAAUUUAAUAUAUUUUAUGUGUAUUUCAGUGUUUUGACCCUGGAAGUGAGUAUGUGAAACUCUUCCUUUUUAUGCACAUGCUUGCAGUCAUAAUUCAGACUGAAGUUUUCUUUCUACGCAGAUCUCAUUACAAUUUCCAUAUGCCAUAUGCUGCUAGACUUCGGGACAAGGGCUACAAGUAAUUACUAAAUAGCGAAAAUAAUUGUUAACCAUUACAAAAAUAAGUAGAAGUUGUAUUUUGAAAUCCAGUCGCCAACUUGAAAUAGAACUAAUAAAUGCAUUAAUAAUAGUUUCAUUAUACAGACAAGCUUUAAUUUUUUUUUCUGAGUACGUUUAAGGUGGCUUUCGAAUGUGUUUGCCAAAAUAGAUAUAUUCGUAAAUUAAAAACAAAGCUAUUUGUUGUAACUAGAUUCUAUAAAAAAAAAAUAGGAUCUCAACAAUUCAUGCGGCUUCAAUAUUUAUAGGUAAGAUAUACUUGUCUCAGCGGUGAUUCUACCAAGAAGGAUGUUAUACCACGGAUUUUUGAACUAAACGCGUAAUAAUAUUCUGCGAUGCAAAUCGUCGUUAUAUUAUCAUCAUAUUAUCCUAACUUCAUUCAGCUGUCGUAAGCAUCGAAAGGCUUUCCGCAUCAAAUAGGCUUAGCAUUGGGAACAUGGCUGCACAGGAAGAAUCGUGGUCCUCAAGCUACACCGGUGCCGGUGGCGAGGAGUCUAUACUGA
Varroa destructor (honeybee mite) is the source of this 3325-nucleotide long non-coding RNA. NCBI's taxonomy places the organism in Eukaryota, Metazoa, Arthropoda, Arachnida, Mesostigmata, Varroidae. The record is from RefSeq and is a predicted model, not a curated record.